RNAcentral lists this long non-coding RNA (236 nucleotides) under Capsicum annuum. Its description in RNAcentral is "long non-coding RNA (CANN_LNC015918)". Lineage: Eukaryota; Viridiplantae; Streptophyta; Magnoliopsida; Solanales; Solanaceae. The record is from RNAcentral.
CCCUUACUGCUUCCUGCUCCUCUUACCACUAAUAAGCUACAUAUGUAAACUGAUACUCAACAAACUCUACACCUUCAGAAUUAGUAGCAUACAUCACCCUAAAAAUCUUUUUCAUAUUAUCAAUGAACCCUUAAGGAUCUGCACCAACCUUAGAGCCUAUAAAGGUUGAGGGAUUCAACCUCAUAAACUGGCCAACCCAAGUGAACACAGAUAAACUCACAGCAGGACCUAAAAAU